This 74-nucleotide transfer RNA is filed under the name Deltaproteobacteria bacterium. Its description in RNAcentral is "tRNA-Pro". It matches the Rfam family "tRNA". From Rfam's summary of the family: Transfer RNA (tRNA) molecules are approximately 80 nucleotides in length. Their secondary structure includes four short double-helical elements and three loops (D, anti-codon, and T loops). RNAcentral also lists the same sequence under 2 other names. The record is from RNAcentral. Lineage: Bacteria; Pseudomonadati; Myxococcota; Myxococcia.
CGGGGCGUAGCGCAGUCUGGUAGCGCAUCUGCUUUGGGAGCAGGAGGUCGGCCGUUCAAAUCGGCUCGCCCCGA